This 459-nucleotide ribosomal RNA is filed under the name Klebsiella michiganensis. Its description in RNAcentral is "partial 23S ribosomal RNA". It matches the Rfam family "Bacterial large subunit ribosomal RNA", at positions 2263 to 2721 of the family's 2925-position model. The record is from RNAcentral. Lineage: Bacteria; Pseudomonadati; Pseudomonadota; Gammaproteobacteria; Enterobacterales; Enterobacteriaceae.
GGGUAGUUUGACUGGGGCGGUCUCCUCCUAAAGAGUAACGGAGGAGCACGAAGGUCAGCUAAUCCUGGUCGGACAUCAGGAGGUUAGUGCAAUGGCAUAAGCUGGCUUGACUGCGAGCGUGACGGCGCGAGCAGGUGCGAAAGCAGGUCAUAGUGAUCCGGUGGUUCUGAAUGGAAGGGCCAUCGCUCAACGGAUAAAAGGUACUCCGGGGAUAACAGGCUGAUACCGCCCAAGAGUUCAUAUCGACGGCGGUGUUUGGCACCUCGAUGUCGGCUCAUCACAUCCUGGGGCUGAAGUAGGUCCCAAGGGUAUGGCUGUUCGCCAUUUAAAGUGGUACGCGAGCUGGGUUUAGAACGUCGUGAGACAGUUCGGUCCCUAUCUGCCGUGGGCGCUGGAGAAUUGAGGGGGGCUGCUCCUAGUACGAGAGGACCGGAGUGGACGCAUCACUGGUGUUCGGGU